AGAGUUUGAUCCUGGCUCAGAAUCAACGCUGGCGGCGUGCCUAACACAUGCAAGUCGCACGAGAAAGGGACUUCGGUCCUGAGUACAGUGGCGCACGGGUGAGUAACACGUGAAUAAUCUACCUCCGAGUGGGGAAUAACUGAGAGAAAUCUUAGCUAAUACCGCAUAACACUUACGAGUCAAAGCAGCAAUGCGCUUGGAGAGGAGUUCGCGGCAGAUUAGUUAGUUGGCGGGGUAAUGGCCCACCAAGACGAUGAUCUGUAUCCGGCCUGAGAGGGCGCACGGACACACUGGAACUGAAACACGGUCCAGACUCCUACGGGAGGCAGCAGUGGGGAAUUUUGCGCAAUGGGGGAAACCCUGACGCAGCAACGCCGCGUGGAGGAUGAAAUCCCUUGGGAUG
RNAcentral lists this ribosomal RNA (403 nucleotides) under uncultured bacterium. RNAcentral's name for it is "bacterial SSU rRNA". It matches the Rfam family "Bacterial small subunit ribosomal RNA", at positions 8 to 425 of the family's 1533-position model. The record is from RNAcentral.